Molecule: long non-coding RNA, 1952 nt
Organism: Phyllostomus discolor (pale spear-nosed bat)
Lineage: Eukaryota; Metazoa; Chordata; Mammalia; Chiroptera; Phyllostomidae
Exons: 2
Source: RefSeq, a predicted model, not a curated record
UUUGGGGUCUACAGUUAGCGCCCAUAAAUCCCUUGGUUCAUUGAUGUAGCAUCCAAACAAUUGCUAAAUUGGCUAACACAGCAGCAUGAUGAUAGGUGUUUGAACUUGAGGGGAAAAAACCUAGAUGGUCAAGAGACUGAAAUUCACAAAGUUCUUGUUUUCAGGGGCAAUGAUGUAGGAAGUUAUGUAAUAUAAUUAUUAAAAUACAUGUAGCAUACUAACAUUUAUUGAAAAGCAGUAGUGUUCUUAGUAAUCUUAAGGAAAAACAAAAUUGGGAAAUUAAUUAGGCACGGUUAUAGAACAAAAUUAUGACAGUGAGGACUUUGAUGAAUAAAGUGUUUAAUGUGUAUGGGUUGUGUUGUUUUGGCAUUAUUUUUCCAGGUGAUAUCCAGGUUGUCCAUGUUAGGCAGUAGGUCCUAAACACUUUUAAUUUCCUAAAUGUACAGUGUUUUUUAUCAACCUUCUUUAGUUUUUGUUUUGUUUGUUUACAGUUGAGGAACCAGAGACAUAAAUGCUUCAGAAAACUUUUCAGGGUCUUCACAAAAACCUACAACCAGAACCAAACUCACUUCCUGGUGUUUGACUUACUUUCAUGGUAAUUUCGUAGAAACAUAAAAUGCUCCAAUUUGAAGGAGACUCACUGUCAGCUGCCCUGACCGCUUGUUUAUAGAUGAGAAAAGGCCUUUUCCUAACAGAUUGUGAGUUAGCAAAUCUGAGAUUAUCUGCUAAGGUUUUGUUUGUUUGAAUUUUGUUACCAGAGUGGUUCUUUGUUUUCAUAUGAAAGAGGGUUCACACUAUCCAAGUUUUUGGUUUCUGUGAAAAUUUAAAAAUAUUUUACAAGUGAAGAGAUCAUUGACUUUAAGAAAAGAGGCAUGAGAGUGGCACAGCUCGAUGAUAGAAAUUAGUGCCAUCAGCUAAUUUUGGCAAAUGUCAUCCCUAAAUGAUCCAUAUUACUUAAAAAAUGUAUACAUAGACAACUUAAUACUGUUUUUAUACCAUUAUUUUUGCUUUUUAAAAUAUCUUAAAUAUUAAGCAUAUCUCAUGAUUUCAUAUUUAUAAACUUAAAACAGUGCCUGGCACAUAAAUAGCUUUAAAUGAGCUAUAAAUAGCUUUGUGAAAUAAGUAAGUAAAUCUGGUGUUAACUAGAUCCUGAGGACAUUAAGAGCUCUGUGAAAGAAAGGAUAGAAGUCUGAUGUGACUGAAGUUUGGUAAUAGGGGAGAACUGGCAUCAGGUGUAGCUGAGAAGGUGAGCAGAAGCCAUAUAGUUCUGAACUUUGCAGAUAUUGUUAAAGGUUUUCUUUUUUGUCCCAAGAGCAAUGACAUGUACUUAAGAAUAUUGUAAAGAAUGGAUUUACAGACGAGGUCUGCAGAUUUGCUGCAAAAGCAACCUGACUGCUUUUUAGCCCUUCUUUUCUCUUGGGGAGGGAUCUGUCUUUUUGGUCUCCAAAUGCUGAAUGCAAGAUUGGAAAGUUUGAAACAGCAUUUUCACAAAUGAAACUGCAUUGUGUCAAAUUGAAUUGUACUUCGUUUUUAUGAUUGUACCUUUGUGUCUCUGCCCAACACAGUGGCCUUACAGUGCUGUUUUGCUCUAGUCUUCUCUUAGCCAACAGAAGUGCCUCUGCAACAUAGGGGGACUAGCUGUGUCGAACCCCACUGAUGCACGCUCUACCUUGCCCUUGAGUGUUGAGAACAGUUUAUUGGUGAUACUGGCACAAAUUUACAAAUAGCUAGGAUUUAUGUCAGCAGAACAUCAGAUAGCAGUGGUGCUUUUCUGAAAAAAGCAUCAUUGUUCUGGUAACCUUUCUUUCUUACUGUGCAAUCCUACCAUGCCCUAAUAGCCUCCAAAGAGAUGAACAGUGUGUCUUUAGUUUUAAUUUUUUGUCUAUUUAGUGUAUGUAAUUGGAAGAGUAAGCAGUAGCUUUUAGUUUUAUGUGCUAACAAGUAUAUGUCAA